UACGUAGGGGGCAAGCGUUGUCCGGAAUCAUUGGGCGUAAAGCGCGCGCAGGCGGUCCUUUAAGUCUGAUGUGAAAGCCCACGGCUCAACCGUGGAGGGUCAUUGGAAACUGGGGGACUUGAGUACAGAAGAGAAGAGUGGAAUUCCUGGUGUAGCGGUGAAAUGCGCAGAUAUCAGGAAGAACACCUAUGGCGAAGGCAGCUCUCUGGGACGGUACUGACGCUGAGACGCGAAAGCGUGGGGAGCGAACAGG
RNAcentral lists this ribosomal RNA (253 nucleotides) under uncultured bacterium. Its description in RNAcentral is "partial 16S ribosomal RNA". It matches the Rfam family "Bacterial small subunit ribosomal RNA", at positions 524 to 776 of the family's 1533-position model. The record is from RNAcentral.